Molecule: ribosomal RNA, 425 nt
Filed under: uncultured bacterium
Lineage: Bacteria
Description: partial 16S ribosomal RNA
Rfam family: Bacterial small subunit ribosomal RNA
Source: RNAcentral
GUGGGGAAUCUUGCGCAAUGGGCGAAAGCCUGACGCAGCCAUGCCGCGUGAAUGAUGAAGGUCUUAGGAUUGUAAAAUUCUUUCACCGGGGACGAUAAUGACGGUACCCGGAGAAGAAGCUCCGGCUAACUUCGUGCCAGCAGCCGCGGUAAUACGAAGGGGGCUAGCGUUGCUCGGAAUUACUGGGCGUAAAGGGCGCGUAGGCGGACAGCUUAGUCAGAGGUGAAAGCCCAGGGCUCAACCUUGGAAUUGCCUUUGAUACUGGCUGUCUUGAGUUUGGGAGAGGUGAGUGGAGCUCCGAGUGUAGAGGUGAAAUUCGUAGAUAUUCGGAAGAACACCAGGGGCGAAGGCGACUCACUGGCCCAAUACUGACGCUGAGGCGCGAAAGCGUGGGGAGCAAACAGGAUUAGAAACCCUAGUAGUCC